RNAcentral lists this ribosomal RNA (494 nucleotides) under uncultured bacterium. Its description in RNAcentral is "bacterial SSU rRNA". It matches the Rfam family "Bacterial small subunit ribosomal RNA", at positions 15 to 518 of the family's 1533-position model. The record is from RNAcentral.
GAUUAUGGCUCAGGACGAACGCUGGCGGCGUGCUUAACACAUGCAAGUUGAACGGGACGGAUAUUGAAGCGACUUUUCGGAGUGGUGGAUAUAUUGUUUAGUAGCGGACGGGUGAGUAAUGCAUGAGAACCUGCCCUUCAGAGGGGGGCAACAGUUGGAAACGGCUGCUAAUACCCCCAUAUGCCGAGAGGUGAAAGGAGCGAUCCGCUGAAGGAGAGGCUCAUGUCCUAUCAGCUAGUUGGUGAGGUAAGUGCUCACCAAGGCGAUGACGGGUAGCCGGCCUGAGAGGGCGACCGGCCACACUGGAACUGAGAUACGGUCCAGACUCCUACGGGAGGCAGCAGUGGGGAAUAUUGGGCAAUGGGCGGAAAGCCUGACCCAGCGACGCCGCGUGAGGGAAGAAGGCCUUUGGGUCGUAAACCUCUGUUGUAUGGGAAGAAGGAAGUGACGGUACCAUACGAGGAAGUCCCGGCUAACUACGUGCCAGCCGCAGC